CGAUCGAAAGGGCACCCCGGUCGUGAGGCCGGCUCGCAAUGCCUGGGGUCUCGCCGGGGGCGAGACGGCCCGGCUGCCGAA
RNAcentral lists this non-coding RNA (81 nucleotides) under Gemmatirosa kalamazoonensis. RNAcentral describes it as "Gemmatirosa kalamazoonesis c-di-GMP sequence". It matches the Rfam family "c-di-GMP-I riboswitch aptamer". Rfam says of the family: GEMM was predicted in a large-scale screen for bacterial structured RNA regulatory elements. Genes associated with GEMM are involved in a diverse array of functions, including chemotaxis regulation, signal transduction, secretion and chitin. Lineage: Bacteria; Pseudomonadati; Gemmatimonadota; Gemmatimonadia; Gemmatimonadales; Gemmatimonadaceae. The record is from Rfam by way of RNAcentral.